Molecule: ribosomal RNA, 448 nt
Filed under: Streptococcus mitis
Lineage: Bacteria; Bacillati; Bacillota; Bacilli; Lactobacillales; Streptococcaceae
Description: bacterial SSU rRNA
Rfam family: Bacterial small subunit ribosomal RNA
Source: RNAcentral
GACGAACGCGGCGGCGUGCCUAAUACAUGCAAGUAGAACGCUGAAGGAGGAGCUUGCUUCUCUGGAUGAGUUGCGAACGGGUGAGUAACGCGUAGGUAACCUGCCUGGUAGCGGGGGAUAACUAUUGGAAACGAUAGCUAAUACCGCAUAAUAGCAGUUAUUGCAUGAUAACUGUUUGAAAGGUGCAAUUGCACCACUACCAGAUGGACCUGCGUUGUAUUAGCUAGUUGGUGGGGUAACGGCUCACCAAGGCGACGAUACAUAGCCGACCUGAGAGGGUGAUCGGCCACACUGGGACUGAGACACGGCCCAGACUCCUACGGGAGGCAGCAGUAGGGAAUCUUCGGCAAUGGACGGAAGUCUGACCGAGCAACGCCGCGUGAGUGAAGAAGGUUUUCGGAUCGUAAAGCUCUGUUGUAAGAGAAGAAACGAGUGUGAGAAGUGGAAA